This 71-nucleotide transfer RNA is filed under the name Deltaproteobacteria bacterium. RNAcentral's name for it is "tRNA-Asn". It matches the Rfam family "tRNA". Rfam says of the family: Transfer RNA (tRNA) molecules are approximately 80 nucleotides in length. Lineage: Bacteria; Pseudomonadati; Myxococcota; Myxococcia. The record is from RNAcentral.
AGAUAGGUGGCGUAAUAGUAGCGUAAAAGUCUGUUAAACUUUUGGUGCUGGUGCGAUUCCAGCCCUAUCUG